GGCUGCACCUGCAGCAUAUGGAUGUUCCCAGGCUACAGGUCCAAUUGGAGCUGCACCUGCCAGCCUUCAAGCCACAGCAACGUGGGAUCCGAGCCACAUCUGCAACCUACACAACAGCUCAUGGCAACACCAGACCCUUAACCCACUGAGCGAAGCCAAGAAUCCAUCCUGCAUCCUCAUGGAUACUAGUCGGGUUCGUUACUGCUGAGCCACGAUGAGAACUCCCAGAUUAAUUUUAAACGUUUAGGUUACAGGUGCAUGUUCAAGGCUGGAGUUAACAUCAGCUUUUCCAGUGUCCUUAAUUAAACGUCUGGAGAAAACAUCUCAGUCUAGAACAACUAAACUGUGGUGUAGAGUAUUAAAACUAUUUUUUUUAAGAUAUACAUUGAUGAGCUGGCAGACCAGGGAGGUCCUCAAAAGCCAGAAACAACUGGGACCAGCCCUGGGAACAUCUGCCUAUGUUGAUGGGCUAGAGCCUGAGUUAUUUGGGGCCACUGAUGGGAAGGACGGAGGAGAUAAAACCUGACAAUUGAUCAGGUAAGAGCAGUAAAGUCACAUAAAACAGAUGCCUUAAAGGUAACGCCCUCAAAGGACCACGAGCAAAAGUCCACCCCCCCACCAGAAGGAGCUGCUGCAGGGGAAGGAGUGAGAAGUAACAGAAAGGGAUCCAAGUCUGCCCCCAGAGAUUCGAGAGCUCCUCCCAGAAGCUUGGCAGAGGCACAAGCAAACAUCUCCAGGAAUCCUUUCAGCUCAGAGCCGGAGGGAAUUGCUACAGUGGAGGGUUCCAAGACAGAUGAGUCCACAGUCCAAAACUAAAAAGCAUGCAGUAAACAAACCACUGUGAGCAAAAGAGUCAGCAUAGACUCAAAACUAGAGGGUUAAUCCCACAGACAUUUUAAUAGGUAUCAACAUUAUACAAAUAUUGCAAGUGUGUCUAGUAUGCUAAAGUGUUAAACGACUUAAAUUUAUUUAUAAAUUUAUAUUUAACGUACGCAAAGAAAUCAAGGUAUAGAAUACAUAAAGAACAAGAGACAAAAAGACAGCAUAUAUGAAGAAAAAGGAACUAGAACCUCUCAAAAAGAAAAAUAUAAUAAUUAAACUUAAAAUCUCAGAGUUCUCUGGUGAAUCUUCACUAGAUGGGCUAUAGAUUAAAAUGUCUGUGUCACAGGAUGGAAAGCCCAGAAAUAGCCCCGUGCACCCACAGUUAAAUCCUCCACAAAAAAAAGGCCAGAAUGUGCCAUGGAGAAGUCUCUUCCGUAAGUGGUGCUGGGAAAGCUGGAGCGCUCCAUGUAUAAGAACGAAGUUAGAACACCCUCUAACGCCAUGCACAAAGAUGAACUCAGAGUGGGUUAACGACCUAGACUACAAGACCAGAUACUCUAAAACUCUUAGAGGAAAACAUAGGCAGAACACCCUCUGACAUAAACCACAGCAGUAUUUUCAGAUCCACCUUCAAGAGUAAGGAAAACAAAAAUAAGCAAAUGGGACCGUUACAUACAAGAGGAGCUGUGACAGUGGGUGCGAGGCCAUAGAAUGCAUUGAUUUUAAGUCAGUGCAUUGAUUCUAAAUCCCCACCUAUAAGGACCCAGCCUAAUAGCAUGGUGGCUCGUCCUGUUCAAGGCUCAGCUACUGUGUCAGCUUCGGGACCAUAACUUGAUAACUGGGAUGCUUCUGUCCGAGUCUCGGAGUGUUGACUGAACCGAACCACAACUGAUGUGAUGCUGCGUCCCAGCAGCUAGAAGACGGGGCAUGAGAACACAGCAUGAGUGGAGACCCUCCCCAUAACCCCAGAGAUCUAGUCGCAGAAUUUCUGCUUUUCACCUAAGGUUGUAAGAACAUCACCCACUCUCCAGUUCCUACAGGUUAAACUCAAAGUGACCAUCCGCGACUCUCAAGGGCUCGGAUGUUUCACAGCGCUGACCAGCAAAGCAACAUUCCCGGGAGCACCCAGGGAAGGGCACCCAGGCUUAUUGAAGAAAUUGCGCAGCGAGUCAGCAGCCAUGGUUUAUUAGUCUCCAAGUUCUGGAUAAAUGAUCUUUAACACAUGUUGCAGGAGGAAUGUUUUUGAGGAGGGCUGUUCAGCAUGAGAAGAAAAGAGGGCGUGGAGAUGGUGAUCCUUUUCAAAUUUCGGACUUUCACUGGAAAAAUUUUGUUUAUUGCUUCCAAAAGCAAAGUCAAGGGACAUUUAGAAAAGGCCAGUUUUGACUCAACCCGAAAGGGAACUUUUAAAUCGUCUAGACCAGCGCUAUCUAGUAGAACAGAGGUGAGUCACAGACGUACUAUUACAUUUCCUAGUAGCCGCAGGAGAAAUGGAAAACAGAUGGCAUUAAUUUGUACAUAUUUUAUUCAGCCCAAUCCAAUAUGUUAUCAGUUCAAGAUGUCAUCGAUAUUGAAAAUAGGAAUGAGCUUAUUUUACCAUUCUUUUCUUGAUACAAAGUCUUUGAACGCCCAUAUGGAUUUUAUACUCAGAGCACACUCAGUCUGGACUCUCCACUGCUCACCAGCCAUGUGUGACCUGCACACAUUAGGGCAGUGGUUGGACUGUCUCGAGAUGCUGAGAGUCCCAUCAAUCAGGUGUGGUGGAACCGAGUGAAAUAACCACUCAUUAAGGACGUUUGGAAGAAUGUCCAUGCACUGUGUGUUGGGGACAGUUUCCUGGUCUCUCCUUCCCUUAGCUUAUCCCCUGUAACAACAGGAAGAACCUCACCUCACCUGGCAGCAUCCAGCCCCUCUGCCUUCAUCCACCUGAAUGAUGGCUUCUGGAAAAGAUUAACACUUGUCUGGGAGUCUCCUAGCUCCCAAUCAGUUGGAGGGACUAUUUUUUUUUUCUUUUUUAAGGGCACAUCCAUGGCAUACGGAGGUUCCCAGGGUACUGGUCUAAUCAGAGCUACAGCUGCCAGCCUACACUACAGCCAUAUCAAUGCAGGAUCCAAGCCGCGUCUACAACCUACACCACAGCUCAUGGCAAUGCCGGAUCCUUAACCCACUAAGCGAGACCAGGAAUCGAACCCACAGCCUCAAGGUUCCCAGUUGGAUUUGUUUCCGCUGUGCCACGUCAGGAACUCUGGAUUUUUCAGACAGCAUGCAUUGAAACGCAGGAAAACAAAGCAUCUACUGACUCUGCAAUUCCUGACAUGGAGUAAGUGCAGUUGCCUUUUGAACCACACGGCUUUGAACUGCAUGGUUCUACUUACACACGGAUUUUUUUCAGUAAAUACAUUGGAGCAUUCUUUUGGAGAUUUGUGACUAUUUGAAAAACCUUGUAGAUGAGUCGCAUAGCCUAGAAAUAUUGAAAAAAAUAAGAAAAGGUCAUGAAUGAAUAAAAUACACAUAUAUACUAGUUUGUCCUUAUAUACACAUAGGUAAGUGAUUUUUCUUAGCACCACUCUAACCAACGGAGCUAACCAGGCAAGUAAUAAGUGAUACUUAAUAUAAGAUUAAUGAUAUGUUGGUUUUCUUACUGUUUCAUGACUUUCCUUCCAAAGAAAUACAUCCCUGUACCAUAUGCCCCUCUGUCUCCUAAUUAGAAAAACUGCGGAUCCGUCUGUCAUCACAGUAAGUACUUUCUUUAAAAAAUGUAACAAUGUUUCCAAUACCGCAUUAUGAAUAUGACUGUAAUGCUUAUGCCAUACAAAUUUUGUGGUGCUUCGUUCACGAAGGCAUAGGUUAGGCUACUGUGAAGGGCUCAGAUUUAUGCCAGGUGACCGUAAGGCCAUCACAUUGCUGCUUAUUCCGAUCAGCGCGUGAGCUCUUAUGCCUGUACAUAAGCAGGAGUUUCUUUUUCACUGUAUCUUUUCGUUUUUGAUGUCUAGUGUUAGUCACGUGUAAAACAUCGACUGGGUUUCGUGUCAUGUUAGACAGUGUCGGCGCAGAUACUGACAGACGUAUAAUUCAUCUUGCAAACAUGAUGUAAAUUUAGGGUGUUGAUAAACACAAUACUGUAAAUGUAUUUUCUCUAACUAGGGAUUUUCUUAAUAACACGCUCUUUUCUCUAGAUUAUGGUAAAUACCUAUACGAGGGAGGGAUAAAUUGGGACCGUGGGGUUGGCACAGCACACUAACAGGGACCUGUUACACAUAUCUAGGGUUGAUAACUAACGGGGACCUACUGUGCAGCACAAGGAGGCCUAAUCAAUAUUCUGUAAUAAUGCGUGGGAAGAAGAAUAGCUCCAUGUGUAUGUAUAACUGAUUCACUUUUCGGUAAACCCAAAGCUAAUCCCAUAUUGUGAAUCAACUAUAGCCCAAUAAUUUUUAAAAAUUAAAAAACGCAUAUAUAAUAGAUAUAACAUACAAAAUACAAAUUAACCAAUUGUUCAUGUUAUCAGUAGGGCUUCCAGUUAGUACUUAACUUGGGAAAAUCAAAAGUCAUACAUGGAUUUUCAACUGCACUGGGCGGCCGGCACCCCCAACCUCCAAGUUGUUCAAGGGUCAGCUAUGCCUCCUUUUUAGCCAAUGCGAUGCCUGGUAUCCCCUCCCCUGAGAACCACUGCCAUGGGAGGAAGACGGAGGCUUGCCUUUUGGAUGGAGUUAAAAACUGGGUAAUCUGAUCAUAUUUUUUAAGCUUAAGCAAACUAAUAACACUCUGAUUUUGUUGCCUCUGUGGGAAAAGGAAGAUUUCAGAAAGCAGUGGGAGAGGCAAUGUAAUUUUAUCUAAAUACGUAAAGACAAAAGCUAAAACCAGGGUGAACACUUUCUUGAUUUAAGCCAUCGAUGAUGUUCUCCUGGGUCCAUUGCGAUGGGGUGGGCAGAGGGGACCAAUUCUUUCAACAGCUUUUCAAGAAAUGAGUGAACUUCAUUGAUCAUGGGUAUGCAACCAUCUGACCAAAGCGUGUGCAUCAGGGUAGGCAUCACGAGUUUUCUCCUGGGUGGAGCUGUAGGAAAAGGUUUCUUCCAAGAGGAACCAGGCCAUUUUCCACUUGUGAGUCACAUGAUGGGAGGAAUUGCCAGUUCUGACUUAAUGAUAUUCUGCCCGCACGUAGAUUCUAAGAAGAACCACUCAAGACUGCCAGCAAACAUCCACCCAUACCAAUCCAUCUGGUACCCCGUGUCAGUUAAAUAACAUGAUUUAAAAACUGGAGCAGGCUGUGUGUGAGGCUGGGUGGUGAGUGAUUUCGAAGGAAAUGAUCUAAGAAACCACAAACCCCUCUGGCAGCUUUAAUCCUACUGGAUGCCUUCCCUUAAAAUCUAGGUUUCUAACAAACUGCUGCACAGGACUCUGCGCCCACACCCCCCAAAGAAACACAAAGAACGUGGAUUAAAAAUAUGGAAGUGUGUCCUCAGCUGCUUUAGUCUUACCCGAGACACUUUAAUAUGGACUGAUUUCCAAAGAUUAGAAAGCUUUUGUUCUCAAUACUGUCUUAAUAUGAUCGUUGUCUUAGCUCAAUAUUUGUUUGGAUGCUGCACCUGACAUCUUUGCUAUGCCCGGAGCUGUUGUUGUUGAUUCGGAACCCUGGACAAGGAAGUGUUUCUUCCCUUCCACCCACACCCUCCUCAGGGCAGUCAGGGCCUCCGACCAGGAAAAGCAAACCCUCGGGUGACUCUGAAUCGUCUGGAGCAAAUGGUUGAUCCAGAGCCAGACACUCUGUUUGAUUCUUUCCCCUCACUGUCACUUGGUUUUCUAACUGUUUGAAAAAUGUUAUUGCAAUUCACUUGGUGGUCAGAGCCAUCCCUGUGGCUCCAGGCUUUGGAUAUCAGGUCACUUUCACUCCUGGCAAACAAACAAACAAACAAACAAACAAAAAAAAACAGUCUCAGCAUAGUAGGCUUUUCUAAAGGCUGGAGGAAAUGUUGUUAGAUACCCAACGUUCCAAAGAAUGCUUCUCCACUUAGUGACUGGGGGUCGUGGCAGCAGGAUUGUUCCCAGUGUGGAGGGAGCCUCCAGUCCUGCAGGGUCAUGGCUGCUUCUGCGAAGAGCUGGCUUUUGGCCAUGGGGACAUCAGGUCUCUCCACUUUCCAGCACAACCACAUCAGCCCUGAAAACCAAUGUUCUGCUUCCUUGUUUAUAAAGUGGUACAGAAAGAUCACAGUAUCUCCCAGUCCUUGAAACAUGCUUCUAACAGCCAUGGCUAGUGUUCACUCUGACUUCCAAAGUUUUAGGAACAAAAGUCUUCAAUGUUUUAGAAAAUCAGCCUCUAAACCUGAUAAGCCCUCAGCAUACCUUCCUAUUCAUCACCCCCCAGAAUCCUGAUUGCCCACCAAGUUUCAGAUGUCUGAAAAGAGACAUGCAUAUUUGGUUAUACACUUCUCUCAGUGAAUUCAUUCUUUGGUGUUUCAAAUCUAGCUUAAAGUGGUAGGAGACAUGUUUAGAAAAAGAAACCCAUUGUUUCAACAUUUUAAAAAGAAGGAUCAUUUUUUUGCUUAAGGUGCUACCCCACUGAUCUAGUUAACCUGUCUUAAAGCCAGCCAGCCAUGACUGUGGGGUCUCACAGCAAUGCACAGAGCACCUCUGCUGCCAGGGCCUUUCCAGCCAAGAAAUCAUGCCCUCUUGGGCAGCUGUCCUCCACAGUGAUGCUGUUGCUGCUGUGGCCCCAGCCUUAGUGGGGACCCUGCUCUACUCCAUCUCCAUCUUCCCUAAUCCUUAUAGCAUGGCAGAGACCCAUCUACACAUUGUAAUGCAACUUGCUAAGAGCUCAAGGAUAUGGUAGGAAAAUGUACUGAAGUCAGUGACUUUUCCUGGUGUCAAACAACUGUGGAGGCUGCAAAGAACAGAGAGCUUGAUAUGGGGGCGGGUCUUAAAAAUUGUAAUCCAGGAGACACGGAAUUGGAUAAAUCCCAAAGCAUGUUCUAGGCUGAGAAAGGGUCAGGGGUUUCCAAAGACAAAACGCACGAGGUUGUUAAAGUUGCCUGGAGAGAACUGUGAUUGACAAUGACACAAGCUAGAAAUACUUGUCCUUCAGGAAUCACAAGCUAUUUAUUUUAGGGCAGGGUCUAAUAAGUAGAUAGACUAUCACAAGUUACUUUAGGGUAAGGGUGCGACGAGGGAGUAUCUCAGGCAGGGAAGUGAGUGGCCAAAAGGUCACACUGGUGAAAAUGGAGGCUGAGAGGAGA
Molecule: long non-coding RNA, 7046 nt
Filed under: Sus scrofa (pig)
Lineage: Eukaryota; Metazoa; Chordata; Mammalia; Artiodactyla; Suidae
Description: lncRNA (ENSSSCG00015031594.1)
Source: RNAcentral